AUCUCUUUUAUUCUCCAAUUUGUACAAAGGAUAGGAGACAAAGUGGUCUUCACAGGUGCGUCAGGGCACAACUAAUGGCCAUUUUUAUAACCUUCAUAUCCUCUGAGCCUCAGAGAGGGAGCUUGGGAAGCCCUGGCAGAGGAUGAGCCAUCCCAGCAGCUUUUCUUGCUGUAAAAAUCAAAUCUCCGUAGGGGGAACUGGGCCUGUCAGAGCCAAAAAAGAUGAACAAAAACCUAAGAGGGGAUUAGUUUUGAGAUGCUGCCGUUUCCCUCUCCUCCACCUCUGUUACCUACUCUGCCAGCAGAAAAGCUUUAAUGAGAGCGUAAUCACUCAGACUCUUGCUGCCUCGUGCGACUCCCCUCCUCCUUAUCCCCCCUCUAAACUAAGCAAAGGAUUAAUUUGCUAAAUUUAAAUAGUUCAACCUGCAAAUCCAAAUGGCAAGGUACAAAACCAAUUCCUGCAAAGUUUUUGCUUUCAGCCAUGUAAGCUGCCCUGUGCUGUCCCUCCAGCUCCCUGGAGAGGGAUGCAGCCAGGCAGACCCCAUGUCUGCACCCCACCAGGCUGCAGGUGAGUGCCCCACGCUGUCAAUUUCUAAAUGAAAUAGUGUUACUUUGUGCGUUUCAGGGGCAGUGUGUGUUCAGUUUGUUGCUGGAGUCUCAGUUGUGGGGAUGCACAGGGCUGGCUGGGAAACAUGCAGCAGUGCAGCAUCCUUGUGCUUCUAACUUCCAAAGCCAAACCAUCAGGGUUGUGGCCCAUGAUAGGGAUAAUCUGAGUGUGCAAGGACUGCAGGAUGUUUGUGAUUUAUAGAGAGGAGACAAUCUUUUAUGUAUGAAUAAGCAGUAGUAAAUCAGUAAAAAAAUGUUCAAAAUACCAGAUGCAAUGCAAGUUUAUAUCAAAUGCGGCAAGUCAGCAGCAUACAAGGGCAAUUGAUUGCUUGAGCUUUGAAAACUUUGUGAGGGACCACUCGCACAGGGCUGGAGCCAGAGCUGCAGAAGUGGUCUGGAGAUUCACCUGCUCUUCCAAAAUAUUUAUCUCUCUGAAGGGUUCACAGAAUUUCUGUUCUGAUCUGUAGAAUGUUUUCAAGCAUUUUUAUCACAAGGAUCUCCCCCUGGCACACUCAAGCCAAAGAAAUUUCAUUUUCUUCCUUUUCGGGUUUUAUGUACUGUGUGGGGAUGCAUGCUGCUGGCCCCAAGGGUCACGCAGCAUUUAAACAAGGCUGGAACGCCAUCUGUAACCAAAGUGCUGCGCAAAUUCCCAUCCCAGCACUCAGGGAGGGAAGAGUGCUGCAGCUUCCUCUCCUUCACUUGGAACGGUGCAAGAAGCCCCAGUUAGAUUUGAUCAUGGCUUCUCCCAGAUCAGCAGAAAUCCCAUGGGGUGGGAAGAUCUUACAGGCAAGACCUUGUGGUCAGCAUCAUGAAAGUUAGGGCAGGUAAAAAAAUAAAACAAAGCAUCAGUGCCC
RNAcentral lists this long non-coding RNA (1459 nucleotides) under Strigops habroptila (Kakapo). RNAcentral's name for it is "lncRNA (ENSSHBG00005012833.1)". Lineage: Eukaryota; Metazoa; Chordata; Aves; Psittaciformes; Psittacidae. The record is from RNAcentral.